This 163-nucleotide ribosomal RNA is filed under the name Klebsiella quasipneumoniae. RNAcentral describes it as "16S rRNA. Bacterial SSU". It matches the Rfam family "Bacterial small subunit ribosomal RNA", at positions 1 to 157 of the family's 1533-position model. The record is from RNAcentral. Lineage: Bacteria; Pseudomonadati; Pseudomonadota; Gammaproteobacteria; Enterobacterales; Enterobacteriaceae.
UUAAAUUGAAGAGUUUGAUCAUGGCUCAGAUUGAACGCUGGCGGCAGGCCUAACACAUGCAAGUCGAGCGGUAGCACAGAGAGCUUGCUCUCGGGUGACGAGCGGCGGACGGGUGAGUAAUGUCUGGGAAACUGCCUGAUGGAGGGGGAUAACUACUGGAAAC